CUACGGAGGGUGCAAGCGUUGUUCGGAAUCACUGGGCGUAAAGCGCGCGCAGGCGGCUUGAUAAGUUGGAUGUGAAAGCCUACGGCUCAACCGUAGAACUGCAUCCAAAACUGUCAAGCUAGAGUCUGGGAGGGGAAGAUGGAAUUAGUUGUGUAGGGGUAAAAUCCGUAGAGAUAACUAGGAAUACCAAAAGCGAAGGCGAUCUUCUGGAACAGUACUGACGCUGAGGCGCGAAAGCGUGGGGAGCAAACAGGAUUAGAAACCCUGGUAGUCC
RNAcentral lists this ribosomal RNA (274 nucleotides) under uncultured bacterium. RNAcentral describes it as "partial 16S ribosomal RNA". It matches the Rfam family "Bacterial small subunit ribosomal RNA", at positions 523 to 796 of the family's 1533-position model. The record is from RNAcentral.